RNAcentral lists this ribosomal RNA (279 nucleotides) under uncultured bacterium. RNAcentral describes it as "partial 16S ribosomal RNA". It matches the Rfam family "Bacterial small subunit ribosomal RNA", at positions 506 to 784 of the family's 1533-position model. The record is from RNAcentral.
UGCCAGCCGCCGCGGUAAUACGGAGGGUGCGAGCGUUAAUCGGAAUUACUGGGCGUAAAGCGCACGCAGGCGGUUUGUUAAGCUAGAUGUGAAAGCCCCGGGCUUAACCUGGGAACUGCAGUUGAUACUGGCAGGCUGGAGUACGAGAGAGGGAGGUAGAAUUCCAUGUGUAGCGGUGAAAUGCGUAGAUAUAUGGAGGAAUACCAGUGGCGAAGGCGGCUCACUGGCUCGAUACUGACGCUGAGGUGCGAAAGCGUGGGGAGCAAACAGGAUUAGAUA